RNAcentral lists this long non-coding RNA (907 nucleotides) under Gossypium barbadense (sea-island cotton). Its description in RNAcentral is "long non-coding RNA (GBAR_LNC010041)". The record is from RNAcentral. Lineage: Eukaryota; Viridiplantae; Streptophyta; Magnoliopsida; Malvales; Malvaceae.
GAUUCCUUAUUUCUGUUCAAGAGUGUUACAAGCCAAUUUUUAACCCAAGUACCCCUAACCCACUUACAUUCCAUCAGACGCAAUACAACAAAACAUUAAUCCAACCUUAACCCAUUCAACCCAUUACAGACAACCCAAUAACUAAAACCUAAUCAACUAACCCAAUACCUAUCAGCCCAUUAAACCCUUACCCAACACCUGACCCACCAUACCCACUUACCAAUUAAACGCUACCCAAGACCCAACAUGGCAAACCCAAACCCAGAAACCCAAAUCCCAACAAACCCUAGCCACCCAUACCCCUAAACCCAUUUGCGCCGAACCUACCUACCUACCCUCUGCGCCCCUAUGCCCCUGACUGCCGGCCACCUGCUCCACCAGCACCGGCCAUACCCUGUAAAGUGAAAGGAAGCACGCAAUAGCAAUCAGAAGAGAAACAAACAAUGUAAAAAAAAAGGGCUAUAAAAGCCAAAAGAAUAGACCAUUGUAGUGGUUCUUCUUUUUUUUGUUUUUUUUUUCUCUUCGGAAGUUUAAUCAAAAUACAAAGAAAACCAUUCGAUCUUUUAGCAAAUAUUACUUUCAUCAACAUUUAAAUACAAUACAUCAUCAAAUCAAAGAAAAGAUACCAGAAAUUGAGGAAUCAAAAGGGCAAAAGACCAAGGUAAUUUUCUUCAUUUUAGAUACUGUUUUGGGAUCGUUUUUUUUUCGCACAAAUAUCAAAAGAAUAUUGCAAAUAUAAAAAAAUAUAAUAUAAAAAAAUAAAAAAAAAGGAAAGAAAAUUACCUUUUUCGGCCACCGUGUACGGUGGCCGGCGCCGGCGAGCCUCCGGUGACCGUCCGGUGACCGGCCCAUGGCCGGGUUCCUCUCCCCCUCUCCCACUUCUCUCCUUCCCUCUUUUCUUGUUUUU